CUUCAGUGAUGAUUUGAUGACGAGUCGGACAUUCUCCUCUCGUGCCCCAGUCGGCGGAAGGAGCUGCGUUCUGCCGCUGCUUUUGCUGUUGGGUUCUCAUGAGAAAGUUGUGUGAAGAGUCUUGAGGCAUUUGUCUGAGAAGA
This is a small nucleolar RNA of Xenopus tropicalis (tropical clawed frog), 143 nucleotides long. NCBI's taxonomy places the organism in Eukaryota, Metazoa, Chordata, Amphibia, Anura, Pipidae. The record is from Ensembl.